CCUACGGGUGGCAGCAGUGAGGAAUAUUGGUCAAUGGACGAGAGUCUGAACCAGCAAAGUAGCGUGAAGGAUGACUGCCCUAUGGGUUGUAAACUUCUUUUAUAUGGGAAUAAAACGUUCCACGUGUGGGAUUUUGUAUGUACCAUAUGAAUAAGGAUCGGCUAACUCCGUGCCAGCAGCCGCGGUAAUACGGAGGAUCCGAGCGUUAUCCGGAUUUAUUGGGUUUAAUGGGAGCGUAGGUGGAUUGUUAAGUCAGUUGUGAAAGUUUGCGGCUCAACCGUAAAAUUGCAGUUGAAACUGGCAGUCUUGAGUACAGUAGAGGUAGGCGGAAUUCGUGGUGUAGCGGUGAAAUGCUUAGAUAUCACGAAGAACUCCGAUUGUGAAGGCAGUUCACUGGACUGCAACUGACACUGAGGCUCGAAAGUGUGGGUAUCAAACAGGAUUAGAUACCCCUGUAGUC
This 460-nucleotide ribosomal RNA is filed under the name uncultured bacterium. RNAcentral's name for it is "partial 16S ribosomal RNA". It matches the Rfam family "Bacterial small subunit ribosomal RNA", at positions 338 to 795 of the family's 1533-position model. The record is from RNAcentral.